UAGUCUUGGCCGCAGAAGCGAGAUGAUGAAGGGAACGUCAUCAUUUGGAAAGCAUUGCAAUAAGACGUACACGUUAUGCCACCACUGUGGCUCUAAGGCCUACCACCUUCAGAAGUCGACCUAUGGCAAAUGUGGCUACACUGCCAAGCGCAAGAGAAAGUAUAACUGGAGUACCAAGGCUAAAAGACGAAAUACCACCAGAACUGGUCAAAUGAGGCACCUAAAAAUUGUAUACCAUAGAUUCAGGCAUGGAUUCCGUGAAGGAACAACACCUAAACCCAAGAGGGCAGCUGUUGCAGCAUCCAGUUCAUCUUAAUGUCAACGAUUAGUCAUGCAAUAAAUGUUCUGGUUUUAAAAAAUACAAAAUAAAUAAAUAAAUAAAUAAAAAAUAAAUUAAAAAAGA
This 403-nucleotide long non-coding RNA is filed under the name Homo sapiens (human). Its description in RNAcentral is "novel transcript". Lineage: Eukaryota; Metazoa; Chordata; Mammalia; Primates; Hominidae. The record is from RNAcentral.